CGACAUGACGCAUGUCGUGUCGGGAAAGAUUCAUCGGUAUGGGAUGGGGUCGCGUCCUAUCAGCUUGAUGGCGGGGUAACGGCCCACCAUGGCUUCGACGGGUAGCCGGCCUGAGAGGGCGACCGGCCACAUUGGGACUGAGAUACGGCCCAGACUCCUACGGGAGGCAGCAGUGGGGAAUAUUGCACAAUGGGCGCAAGCCUGAUGCAGCGACGCCGCGUGCGGGAUGACGGCCUUCGGGUUGUAAACCGCUUUUGACUGGGAGCAAGCCCUUCGGGGUGAGUGUACCUUUCGAAUAAGCACCGGCUAACUACGUGCCAGCAGCCGCGGUAAUACGUAGGGUGCAAGCGUUAUCCGGAAUUAUUGGGCGUAAAGGGCUCGUAGGCGGUUCGUCGCGUCCGGUGUGAAAGUCCAUCGCUUAACG
This 424-nucleotide ribosomal RNA is filed under the name uncultured Bifidobacterium sp. Its description in RNAcentral is "bacterial SSU rRNA". It matches the Rfam family "Bacterial small subunit ribosomal RNA", at positions 179 to 614 of the family's 1533-position model. The record is from RNAcentral. Lineage: Bacteria; Bacillati; Actinomycetota; Actinomycetes; Bifidobacteriales; Bifidobacteriaceae.